Molecule: unclassified non-coding RNA, 488 nt
Filed under: uncultured Archaeospora
Lineage: Eukaryota; Fungi; Glomeromycota; Glomeromycetes; Archaeosporales; Archaeosporaceae
Description: SSU rRNA
Rfam family: Eukaryotic small subunit ribosomal RNA
Source: RNAcentral
AGCAGCCGCGGUAAUUCCAGCUCCAAUAGCGUAUAUUAAAGUUGCUGCAGUUAAAAAGCUCGUAGUUGAAUUUCGGGACCAAUAUGUCGGUCGUGCCUCGGUACGUACUGGCAUCGUUGGUUUCUCCUUUCUGAAGAACCAUGAUGUCAUUUAUUUGGUGUCGUGGGGAAUCAGGACUGUUACUUUGAAAAAAUUAGAGUGUUUAAAGCAGGCUCACGCUUGAAUACAUUAGCAUGGAAUAAUGAAAUAGGACGUUUGAUUCUAUUUUGUUGGUUUCUAGGAUCGACGUAAUGAUUAAUAGGGAUAGUUGGGGGCAUUAGUAUUCAAUUGUCAGAGGUGAAAUUCUUGGAUUUAUUGAAGACUAACUACUGCGAAAGCAUUUGCCAAGGAUGUUUUCAUUAAUCAAGAACGAAAGUUAGGGGAUCGAAGACGAUCAGAUACCGUCGUAGUCUUAACCAUAAACUAUGCCGACUAGGAAUCAGACGAUG